CCUACGGGGGGCAGCAGUGGGGAAUUUUGCACAAUGGGGGAAACCCUGAUGCAGCGACGCCGCGUGAUUUAGAAGGCCUUCGGGUUGUAGAAAUCUUUUGUAUAGGAAGAAAAUGACAGUACUAUACGAAUAAGGUCCGGCUAAUUACGUGCCAGCAGCCGCGGUAAUACGUAAGGACCGAGCGUUGUCGGGAAUCAUUGGGCGUAAAGGGUACGUAGGCGGCUAGAAAAGUUAGAAGUCAAAGGCUAUAGCUCAACUAUAGUAAGCUUCUAAAACUAUUUAGCUUGAGAGAUGGAAGGGAAAGUGGAAUUCCUAGUGUAGCGGUGGAAUGCGCAGAUAUUAGGAGGAAUACCGGUGGCGAAGGCGACUUUCUGGUCAUUUUCUGACGCUGAGGUACGAAAGCGUGGGUAGCAAACAGGAUUAGAUACCCUGGUAGUC
RNAcentral lists this ribosomal RNA (438 nucleotides) under uncultured Anaerococcus sp. RNAcentral's name for it is "bacterial SSU rRNA". It matches the Rfam family "Bacterial small subunit ribosomal RNA", at positions 338 to 795 of the family's 1533-position model. The record is from RNAcentral. Lineage: Bacteria; Bacillati; Bacillota; Tissierellia; Tissierellales; Peptoniphilaceae.